CCCUUAGAUGUCCUGGGCCGCACGCGUGCUACACUGAUAUUGCCAAUAUGUCAUUCUUAUCCGAAAUGGAUUGGGUAAUCAAGUAAUGAAAUUUCAUGCUUGGAAUCGGUAAUUGCAAUUUUAUCGUGAACGAGGAAUUCCUAGUAAGCACUAGUCAUCAGCUAAUGUUGAUUAUGUCCCUGCCCUUUGUACACACCGCCCGUCGCUACUACUGAUUGGGUGUUCAAGUGAGAUGCUUAGACCCUUGUUGCAUGGUUCAUUAUUGUGCUCCGAAAGGAAAAAGUUUCAAGCUUGAGUGUCUAGAGGAAGUAAAAGUCGUAACA
RNAcentral lists this ribosomal RNA (323 nucleotides) under uncultured eukaryote. RNAcentral's name for it is "partial 18S ribosomal RNA". It matches the Rfam family "Eukaryotic small subunit ribosomal RNA", at positions 1470 to 1796 of the family's 1831-position model. The record is from RNAcentral.